RNAcentral lists this ribosomal RNA (429 nucleotides) under Chloroflexota bacterium. Its description in RNAcentral is "Chloroflexi bacterium partial 16S ribosomal RNA". It matches the Rfam family "Bacterial small subunit ribosomal RNA", at positions 355 to 776 of the family's 1533-position model. Lineage: Bacteria; Bacillati; Chloroflexota. The record is from RNAcentral.
UGGGGAAUAUUGCACAAUGGGCGCAAGCCUGAUGCAGCCAUGCCGCGUGUGUGAAGAAGGCCUUCGGGUUGUAAAGCACUUUCAGCGGGGAGGAAGGCGGUGAGGUUAAUAACCUCAUCGAUUGACGUUACCCGCAGAAGAAGCACCGGCUAACUCCGUGCCAGCAGCCGCGGUAAUACGGAGGGUGCAAGCGUUAAUCGGAAUUACUGGGCGUAAAGCGCACGCAGGCGGUCUGUCAAGUCGGAUGUGAAAUCCCCGGGCUUAACCCGGGAAUGGAAUGUGUUACUGGGCAGCUAGAGUCUUGGAGAGGGGGGUAGAAAUACAUGUGUAGCGGUGAAAUGCGUAGAGAUGUGGAGGAAUACCGGUGGCGAAGGCGGCCCCCUGGACAAGAAAUGACGCUCAGGUGCGAAGGCGUGGGGAGCAAACAGG